CUAGCCCUAAACGAUGGGUACUAGAUUGUGGACUUAACAUGGGUUCACAGUCGAAGCUAAAGUGUUAAGUACCCCGCCUGGGGAGNGGGCUUGACAUGUGCGAAAGCGCGGGGAAGUAGGGAGCGGAAACGUUUCCCCAACGGUAUCCAGUCCGGAACCUCGUACAGGUGC
Molecule: ribosomal RNA, 171 nt
Filed under: uncultured bacterium
Lineage: Bacteria
Description: partial 16S ribosomal RNA
Source: RNAcentral